This 342-nucleotide unclassified non-coding RNA is filed under the name plant metagenome. RNAcentral's name for it is "partial contains 5.8S ribosomal RNA, internal transcribed spacer 2, and large subunit ribosomal RNA". The stretch from base 1 to 103 matches the Rfam family "5.8S ribosomal RNA", at positions 50 to 154 of the family's 154-position model. The record is from RNAcentral.
GAAGUGCGAUAAGCAAUGCGAAUUGCAGAACCGUGAGUCAUCAGAUUUUUGAACGCAACUGGCGCCGGUUGGCUCUCCAACCGGCAUGCUUGUUUCAGUGUCUCUUUAUCUCAUCACCCAUAUCAUAAUGCGAGAGAUACCCUUCUCUUGCUAAGCUCGAAAGCACUCUGCGCUCUGCGAGCGGCUUCGACUUGUUCGAGGGUCGCACUCAAUGCAGCCGUCACAUUGCUCACAAUGUGAACUCGUUGAGAACUGAGGCAGUGUAGCGUAAGCUACCAGUGCUUAGUCACACAAACUUUACUUGCAUCUGAAAUCAAGCAGGAUCACCCGCUGAACUUAAGC